This 86-nucleotide transfer RNA is filed under the name Rohdeia mirabilis. RNAcentral describes it as "Planctomycetes bacterium Pla163 tRNA-Leu". It matches the Rfam family "tRNA". Rfam says of the family: Transfer RNA (tRNA) molecules are approximately 80 nucleotides in length. Their secondary structure includes four short double-helical elements and three loops (D, anti-codon, and T loops). Further hydrogen bonds mediate the characteristic L-shaped molecular structure. tRNAs have two regions of fundamental functional importance: the anti-codon, which is responsible for specific mRNA codon recognition, and the 3' end, to which the tRNAs corresponding amino acid is attached (by aminoacyl-tRNA synthetases). tRNAs cope with the degeneracy of the genetic code in two manners: having more than one tRNA (with a specific anti-codon) for a particular amino acid; and 'wobble' base-pairing, i.e. permitting non-standard base-pairing at the 3rd anti-codon position. Lineage: Bacteria; Pseudomonadati; Planctomycetota; Planctomycetia. The record is from RNAcentral.
GCCAGGCUGGCGGAACGGUAGACGCGCUGGAUUCAAAAUCCGGUGCCCGCAAGGGCGUGAGGGUUCGAUUCCCUCGCCUGGUACCA